This 265-nucleotide long non-coding RNA is filed under the name Homo sapiens (human). Its description in RNAcentral is "non-protein coding lnc-SLC35C1-6:1". Lineage: Eukaryota; Metazoa; Chordata; Mammalia; Primates; Hominidae. The record is from RNAcentral.
CAAGGUCUGUCUGAUGGCAGGACCAGGGCUGGCUCAGGAUCCCACGCUGUCUUUCCAAGCUUCCGGACUGGCUAAGGAGUGGGCCUGGCUGGGAGAGGGAUCCGGUCCAGGGAUGCAGAGCUGCUGAGUGCCCCUUGCUGCUGGCGACCGCCUGCACCUUCACACAGUCUCCGCGCUCCAUAGGCUCCUGUGUCCAUCCGGACUGGCCUCCGCCCCCAUGCGCACCCCAGAUCCCAGCCCUACCCCACCUACCCCCACCAUGUCU